This 373-nucleotide unclassified non-coding RNA is filed under the name soil metagenome. Its description in RNAcentral is "partial contains 5.8S ribosomal RNA, internal transcribed spacer 2, and large subunit ribosomal RNA". The stretch from base 1 to 121 matches the Rfam family "5.8S ribosomal RNA", at positions 35 to 154 of the family's 154-position model. The record is from RNAcentral.
GAUGAAGAACGCAGCGAAAUGCGAUAAGUAAUGCGAAUUGCAGAAUUCCAGUGAGUCAUCGAAUCUUUGAACGCACAUUGCGCCCUUUGGUAUUCCGAAGGGCAUGCCUGUUCGAGCGUCAUUAUCACCCCUCAAGCCCUCGGCUUGGUGUUGGACGGUUUGGUGGAGGCCCCCUCGUGGGCUCCUGCCCCUCCCAAAGACAAUGACGGCGGCCUCGUUGGACCCCCGGUACACUGAGUUCUUCACGGGACACGUAUCGGACACAUGGGUUUACGGGACACGGUCUGCCUCCCCUCAGGGAGAAUCUUUCUAAGGUUGACCUCGGAUCAGGUAGGGAUACCCGCUGAACUUAAGCAUAUCAAUAAGCGGAGGA